RNAcentral lists this ribosomal RNA (248 nucleotides) under uncultured bacterium. Its description in RNAcentral is "partial 16S ribosomal RNA". It matches the Rfam family "Bacterial small subunit ribosomal RNA", at positions 15 to 260 of the family's 1533-position model. The record is from RNAcentral.
GAUCCUGGCUCAGGACGAACGCUGGCGGCGUGCUUAACACAUGCAAGUCGAACGCUGAAGCUCAGCUUGCUGGGUGGAUGAGUGGCGAACGGGUGAGUAACACGUGAGUAACCUGCCCUCUUCUUUGGGAUAACGCCCGGAAACGGGUGCUAAUACUGGAUAUUCACUGAUCUUCGCAUGGGGGUUGGUGGAAAGGUUUUUUCUGGUGGGGGAUGGGCUCGCGGCCUAUCAGCUUGUUGGUGGGGUGA